UGCAAGAAUGAGACUCCUGAUCCAGUU
RNAcentral lists this unclassified non-coding RNA (27 nucleotides) under Mus musculus (house mouse). Its description in RNAcentral is "oocyte_clustered_small_RNA8944". The record is from RNAcentral. Lineage: Eukaryota; Metazoa; Chordata; Mammalia; Rodentia; Muridae.